RNAcentral lists this ribosomal RNA (500 nucleotides) under uncultured bacterium. RNAcentral describes it as "partial 16S ribosomal RNA". It matches the Rfam family "Bacterial small subunit ribosomal RNA", at positions 30 to 523 of the family's 1533-position model. The record is from RNAcentral.
AUUGAACGCUGGCGGCAGGCCUAACACAUGCAAGUCGAGCGGAUGAAGGGAGCUUGCUCCCUGAUUCAGCGGCGGACGGGUGAGUAAUGCCUAGGAAUCUGCCUGAUAGUGGGGGACAACGUCUCGAAAGGAACGCUAAUACCGCAUACGUCCUACGGGAGAAAGCAGGGGACCUUCGGGCCUUGCGCUAUCAGAUGAGCCUAGGUCGGAUUAGCUAGUUGGUGAGGUAAUGGCUCACCAAGGCGACGAUCCGUAACUGGUCUGAGAGGAUGAUCAGUCACACUGGAACUGAGACACGGUCCAGACUCCUACGGGAGGCAGCAGUGGGGAAUAUUGGACAAUGGGCGAAAGCCUGAUCCAGCCAUGCCGCGUGUGUGAAGAAGGUCUUCGGAUUGUAAAGCACUUUAAGUUGGGAGGAAGGGUUGCUGAUUAAUACUCUGCAAUUUUGACGUUACCGACAGAAUAAGCACCGGCUAACUCUGUGCCAGCAGCCGCAGUAA